CAUCUAUCAUCACCCUGCCUUUGGACGUGACCAGUACAUUGUGUGUUUCACAGAAAUUAAUCUGGUGUUUCGGAGGAGAAAGGCAUUUCGGAAUCAGUCUGCGUGCAGAACCCUUCCUGCAGACCCUGCAGACGCAGUUUCAACGCCUUUCGCCCCUGCUCAGCAAGUCUCAAACUUGACCUUCGAGAGGAUUUCAAGGGUAAUGCCUUCCUCCCUUUCCCCGAUUUGCCCAGUUGACCACCUUCAAACGUCUAUUCUCCUUUGAGGCGCCCUACCCACCAGUAUGGCCAGAGAUCACCUUAGACAAACCAGCCUUCACCUCGGACCCAGGCCCUCUGCAGACUCAAGUUGGGGAUAUUCGUCCGAGUGGUCCAAGAAUUCCCCAAGUAUCUCCCAGUCGCUGGCUCUCUCGAUAAGCUGAAACGCGGCCGCCCGCGCGGUAAUGACCUUUGCUCGCUGCUGUCGGGGCUGGCACGAAGCGCCAGGAGCGCUCAGGGACGCCCAAGCUUUGGACAAUGGGAAGGCGGAGCGAGAGAGAAACUCAGGACAGGGAGCAACGCGAAGCUGUCCCAACUUCCAGGAAGUGGAGGGCCAGUCCCCGCGCUUCCUGCGGGCGACGGUCCGGAGUCUUUGAUCCCGUUGGUCACGCGGGCCCGAGUUCUCCGCAGCGAGUUGUACUCAAAGCCUGGAGCCCCAACCCUGAGAUCCCUGGCAAGGGCGUG
This 722-nucleotide long non-coding RNA is filed under the name Capra hircus (goat). Its description in RNAcentral is "lncRNA (ENSCHIG00000006952.1)". Lineage: Eukaryota; Metazoa; Chordata; Mammalia; Artiodactyla; Bovidae. The record is from RNAcentral.